RNAcentral lists this ribosomal RNA (620 nucleotides) under uncultured eukaryote. RNAcentral's name for it is "bacterial SSU rRNA". It matches the Rfam family "Eukaryotic small subunit ribosomal RNA", at positions 5 to 584 of the family's 1831-position model. The record is from RNAcentral.
UGGUUGAUCCUGCCUGUAGUCAUAUGCUUGUCUCAAAGAUUAAGCCAUGCAUGUCUAAGUAUAAACAUUUCUGCCCUGAAACUGCGCAUGGGGCUCUAUAUCACUUAUAGAUUAUUUGAGGGGACCUUACGACAUGGGUAACCGUAUGAAUUCUCGAGAUAAUACAUGCGUCUAGUCCCACCCUUUUCUGGAGGGAGGUAUUUUUUUAAAACAAAAACAACCGGGGCACCCCGCUUCUUGGUGAAUCAUAAUAAUUCCUUCCAAAUCCCUGUGUUCCUUGUGCCCGGGGUUCGGUCAUUCAUCUUUCUGCCCUAUCUUCUAUCGACGGAAAUGUACCGAACUAGCGGGGCAUUGACGAGGGACGAAAAAUUAUGGAUCCAUUCCAGAGAGGCAGCCUGAGAAAUGUCUAUCCCAUCGAAGGAAGGAAGCAGGCGCACUAAUUACCCACUCCUGACACAGGUAGGGAGUGACAAUAAAUAUACAUGCCGGUUAUUCAUGUCUGGUUUGGGAAUGAGUACUAUUUAUAUCCCAUAACAAAAAUCUUUUGGAGGGCAACUGGGAAGAGGGAGAAUUCCAGCACUGUGGCGGUUUUUUCUAGUGUAUCAGAUCUCGGUACCACG